Molecule: RNA transcript, 2617 nt
Organism: Cephus cinctus (wheat stem sawfly)
Lineage: Eukaryota; Metazoa; Arthropoda; Insecta; Hymenoptera; Cephidae
Exons: 9
Source: RefSeq, a predicted model, not a curated record
UUGUGAGUUAGAUAAAUGCCAGCUGGUAUUUCGCGCAGUAAAAGUAUUUAGUUAACCGUGUCUUGCUCUUUCAUAAAGGUUCGUUUCGUCUUUCGUGAAUUUCAUCACGGCAACAAUGUAUAUAUACACAUCAAAUUCAACGAGGACUAAAUUGUAUAGCGUCCAUUUAAAAUUUAGAAAGGCUUUAAGGCUAUUUCUAUUGCUGUGAAGUUCCGGCUUGUUACUUGUCUCAGUGCAAAGAAGGCUGCUUAACGAAGGUGGAAGUCAUCAUCAUUUUGAGAUUCAUAAUAACCACUGGCGUCACUUUAUAGAUUUUCAGAGUGCUCAGUGUUAUUAAUUAACAAUGGACUUGUUAUCGCCCGUUUCUUGAAUACAUUUACUUACUCUUUACUACAGCGAGGUUCACCGACCCUGGACCUCGGGACUCCUACCACAAAGUACAGAGUGAUAACGAUGCCAAUUACAAGAAAAAAGGGAUACUUGCUCAAAAUAGAAAACCAAUAAACUGACAUCGAUCCCUGGCUUGCAUUUAAGAUUAACCGCAGACGGCACAUUGGCUUCCGUACGAGGUUGACUGACCUGGGUUCAUUCAGAGUUACGCAAUGGCGUCAUCUCUAUUUGGCAGAUGCUCUUCCAUUCUUAUACACACAAUCCACGUUUCUACCACGAAUACCUAUACUCGUGCUACGAGUCAGGACCUUAUGAUAAACCAGUCGGAAUUGAACGUCUCAAAAAAUGGCAACUAUAACAGUUACCAAAGACCAAUUGAGUGAUGCUAAGUUGGAGCUGUGUCAACAAGAAAAAAGCUCAUGGCUGAUCAUCAAACUGAACUUUGUUCAUAAGGAUACCCUUUAUGGUACUCAACUGGGGCAGAUUUGCAGAGUUCACAAUAGGAGACAAAGGGCAACCGAUUCCCCGAUGCGGUUCAAAGGCUUCGGAUGUCUCGUACGAGUGAACCCUCCUAUCCAUUUCACUUGCUGAAAAAGCUCAACUGGCAGAACAGAAAGUGCAUCGUCGACUGUUGAGAUACGUCUGGCGAUAAAGUGAAAAGUGGCAGAGAGAAAGGAGGACAAGGGUGAAAGGAAGAAGUUGCCUAGUCCAAAAAUUCCGAUAGAAUUAGUAAUGUAAAAAGGUUAGAAUUCGAAAAUAAGAUUUCGUUUGAACGGUAGCACUGUGAGUUGCAAUAAGAAAUCUUAUUGAAUGCCUGGCUUGAUAAUAGUCAAAGCCAGUAGUGGUAGCAGUGCUACUGCAAACUAUACUCAUAGUAUUACUAUAGCUGAUAACCGUGAUAGCAGUAAUAGUAGUAACAACCGUAGUGGUGGUAGACCUGGAGGAUCGAUGCCGUAGCAGCGACAGCGUGGCUCCAGCCUGCAGACAACUUCCCCCAUACCUUUGGAUAUCUUGCCGCUUCAUAGAAACCUGCUAGUUAUUUCCUUCCAACGGACGGACACCUAUCGACGUAAGGACCUGAACCUAUCGCAAUUAUUCAACAGACACAAAGUUCAAAUUCAACGUGGACUCGUGGGGUACAUUCGGUUCAGAAAUUUUUGUCUCCACACCGCCCAGACCAAAUUGGCACAAAGCAGCGACUGCAUAAGGCAUUACGCGGCCUCCUGGGUUCUACGUAAACUACUACUGGCAGACUCUGAAAUAUUUUUCAAAUGAGUAAGAAUUUCAUGGCCGACCCGGACACUUUACUUGACGUGCGGAACCCGUGAGACUCGAUCCCGCCAUCUGUUGAAAACUUCGAGAACUGACUCGUACCGUCUGAAAGGAAGCAGUAGUAAGGUCUAUCGAUCUUCGGGAAAGUGAUUCGCAAAAUAAACAAAGAUCGCAUUCUUGUAUAAGGGCCAGUUUCCAAAGGCGUAAGGUACAACAUGGUUUGAUUAAUGGAUAGCAGUACAAUGGAUUCCGUCAGCAGACGCCUAUUGAACCCUUCAGGACUUUCAGUCGGCGAUGUCGAUUCUUAGUGAUAGCCUGGCAAUCAAGGUUCUCCAAAAGGAAAGGGGGGCGUAUAAAGGAGAUCAGGAGUAAUGCAUUUCUAAUGGCUGACGUCUGCAAUUGAUAUUAGGUGAUAACUAUUUUCUAUAAUUCAUUAAAUUAAAUGAUGGUUAAUGAAUGUUGUAAUUCAGCAGGUUAUACUUAUAUGACAUGAUAGAUUGUUAAUGGUUACUUAAUAUGAGAAGAUGGGAUAAUGAUUGUUAAUGAGACAAUAAAUGUUAAAUAUAAAUAUUGGAUCAACGAUGUCACAUUAAUGAUGUCAUUUAUGUUUCAUAUGCUCGCUGUCAAACGAGGGAAUAUCAAAUUUAUUAUUGGACCGUGUAUGAUUUGUAAUUACCGCAUCACCGAGGAGGAAUGGGACUGUAAAUCUCGCGGGAAAUUGGAUUUAUUGUGAUAUCACCAGUAUAUUUCUACCAGCGGAACUUUUAACUCUUAAGCUAGAUUGAUGUUGUGCGGUAUGGAUUCGCGUAAGGCCAUGUAUUAUUAAAAACACUUUAUUAUUAAAACAUUGAAAGGAGGGAUAGAUACAGACAAUACAUUGUCCCGUGAGUCGGACAAUUGAGAAACUAAAAGCUGUGACGAGAUGAACCUCAAAGAAUUAAAAGUUGAAUUUGAA